Long non-coding RNA from Camelus dromedarius (Arabian camel), 4019 nucleotides. RefSeq lists it as uncharacterized. The transcript has 5 exons. The record is from RefSeq and is a predicted model, not a curated record. Lineage: Eukaryota; Metazoa; Chordata; Mammalia; Artiodactyla; Camelidae.
GUCCUCCGCGCCUGCGCUGGCGUCCGGCGUCCUCCACUUCCAUUCCCGGCGGAGGCGGUGCGGGCAGCCGGGGUCCCGGGGGUUCCGGACCGUACUGCCGCGCGCCCCGCGUCUCAGCCUCUGCCUCCGCACACCCCAGGCCGCCCGGCCACGCGCACUGCCCGGGAAGUGCCGCUGCCCUCACCCUGAGUAACUUCAGUGCUGGCUAAUUGGAAGACACCAGCCUCGGGCUGCUGAUCUUUCUGGAAAGUUUUAACUGUGAAGGAGAAAGAAAACGUCUUAGCUUCAGAAGACAGGCGUGCCUGGAGGGGAUGGCAGACAGGUCGACCGGCCUGGCUUUCUAAGAAGUGGAGAGGAGGCUGGAGGAGCAUAAGUAGGUCCUGAGGGUAUCUGAACCCCAACCAGGUCAGUCCUGUCCAGCUUCACCCAGCGCAGUUCUUGGAAGGGAAGAAGUGGACCAUGAAGACCAUCUGGUCCAGUGCCCUCAGGUUUGGCCUGAGAGGUGGGCCCUGGGUGAGCACGUGGCUGUCAGGACUCAACCCAGUGUUCAUUCCAUGACUGCACUGUACAGCCGUCAUCUGCACACAGUCUGCUGUGACCACAGAGAGGGCCUGGAGAGUUUCUAAGAUUCACCAAGAAUUACAUCUACAAACCCGUUGAAUCGCACAGAACACCUACUGAACUCUGGCAGAGUGUCUCACUUCUAAAUACAGAAGGAUUCUCACAAAAUCUGCCUCCAGCCAGAUUGCCUCUGAUAUCCAAAGGGUCACAUGUGUUUGGAAGCCACUGAAGAAGUGACACCGAGCAGCUUCUGCAGGACAGGCAGCCUCCUCCCCUCCCCUUCUUUUCUAUCUUGUUUCUCCCUCCAGAAUUGCUGCCUGACUCCCUUUCAUCUGAGCCCCUCCCUCCGCCCAUCAUCAGAGCUACUUCAUUCCUUCUGAUUAGUUCUCACUGUCAGGCCCAAAGACAGAACCACCCAAUUCGAUUUUUUUAAAACAUUCUAAUCUUUUUCAAAAAAUUGAAGCAUAGUUGGUUUUACAAUGUUGUGUUAAUAUGUGGUGUACAGCAUAGUGAUUCAGUUAUACAUAUGCCUUUUCAUAGUCUUUUUCAUUAUAGGCUAUUACAAGAUAUUGAAUAUCGUUCCCUGUGCUGUACAGUAGGACUUGUUGUUUAUCUAUUUUAUAUAUAGUAGUUAGUGUCUGCAAAUCUCGAACUCCCAAUUUAUCCCUCCAACCCCCAUUCCCCUGCUGGUAACCAUAAGUUUGUUUUCUAUGUCUGUGAGUCUCUUUCUGUUUUAUAAAUAAGUUCAUUUGUGUCAUGUUUUUAGAUUCCACAUAUAAGGGAUAUCAUAUGGUAUUUUUCUUUUUCUUUCUGGCUUGCUUUACUUAGUAUGAUAAUCUCCAGGUCCACCCAUGUUGCUGCAAAUGACAUUUUAUUUUUUAUGGCUGAGUAGUAUUCCAUUGUGUGGAAUACUUCUUUAUCCAGUCAUUAGUUGAUGGACAUUUAGGUUGCUUUCAUGUCUUUGGUACUGUAAAAUAGUGCUGCUGUGAACAUUGGGUUGCAUAUUUCUUUUCAAAUUAGAAUAAAAUGUUCUAAUCUUAAAUACAUAUAUGUGUGUUAUGUUAGCAGCAUAUGUAACUUUCUUCUCCAAAAGGCUGCUCUGGGGAAUUCUGCUUAUGUCACUGUUCUUGGCUUUCUGUCGAAUAAAUAAAAGAGUGCUCUGUGCCUGGGGGCUUUACAUCCCUCCCUCCCUUACUUCCUUGCCCCAGCUUCAUUCCUUCCUGGAAUACUUACUGAGCACCUGCAGUUAGCUAAGCACAGUUCUAGGUGCUGGACACUGUUCUAGAAAAGCAUUACCUCCGUUAAUCCUUACAAUAAUGUGAGGUUAACAUUAUUAUUCCUAUUUUACAUAUGUGAGAACUGCAGCUCAUAGAGGUUAAAUAGUUGUCUGAAAUGACAUAACUGGUACAGUGCAAAACUUGUCUGUCUCUAACAUGUAAUCUUUAUGAUGCUAUAAGCUAUUAGCAGACAGUAUCGCUUUGUAAUCCGAUCUAGUAAAUUAACAUGCCUAAUUCUUCAUGCCACAGGAGACUCUAAAAAUUGAUUUGUUAAUGAUGACAACCAAUGAUCAAGACCCUGAUCACUUAGGGAACAAGUUGAGAAUGAAUUUCUGUCCCUCUUCACUCCUCAAUAACCAUGGAAUUUUGACAUGCCAUUUGUUUUUCCUUUUGGUACCAAGCUAGUGGGGAGCGAGUAUGUCAGAAUUAUCUGUAGGCCGUGACUUGAGUGAUAUCUGCAAAUUGUCCAUAGUUAAUAUACAGCUUGUUUUAUAAAUAUGGCCCUAACAGUGACAAGUGCAGGAGUGGUCUGCAGGGCCAGGGUUAGAGUGGAGGUGGGGUGGGUGAGAGCCAGAAAUCAAAAUUCAAAGACAGUGACAUCCUCGCAGGACUCCACACAGCAGACUCAGCUCAUUCAUCUCAGCAGCUGCCCAGUGUUUCCUGCCAUCCAGCCAUCCAGCACCAGCAUGAGGACAAAAUGUGCUUCCUCAAGUUAUAAAUACUGUGUUAAAGUAAUACCCUCUGAGAAAGGCUUGAGUUUCAGGAGCAUCACCUCAUGCCCUGUGCUGCAUUUCUUGUGAGAAACAGUCUUCCAUCUGGAGUCUCACUGCAUCUGCAGCGUGGCAGACAGUGCAGCACUAACUUGGCUUUAAUUUCCAAACCAGACUCAGGUGGGAAUGAACAAGGGUGUAGCCAUUUCCUUCCCACUGGCAAGGCUUCAGCUUCCCCCAGGCCCCUUUACUCACCCCGGCCCGCUCCAAAGCGGUCACGCUGAGUGACCACCACCCAGAGGUCCACAUCACACUUCACCUCUGAGCAGCACGCACUGGGUACCAGCCCACCUUCCUCCAAACAGGCCCUCCUGGCAUCCGGGAGACAUCCCUCUCAGUCCUUCUGCCUGGCUCACCCCGACACCGCUCGGCCUCUGCCCUGCCCUCCAUACUGUCCGCACUGACUGCCCAAACCCCUGAUUGGCCCACAGGCCCCAGGUGACCCGGUACACUCCUACCUCUAUUUUAUAACUACACAGAAUUUUAUCCUUACUAAUGCUUUUUUGGGGGGGCCCUACACCUGCACUGUCUGAUAGUUACCCCAUUUUCUUCUGGUUAAUGUUGUUGUAGUAUCUCUGUCAUAUUAUUUUUAGCCAUUUGGUGGUGUUUGCUCCUCACGCAGCAUGUAACUGCUUAAUUUUUUUUUAAUCUAGCUGAUUAUAUUUUAGUAUUUAAAUGUAAUCUUAAUCCAUGUAUAUUUAUGGUAAUACCUGUGGUUUUAUAACUUCCUUCUUGUCAUUGUUACCUGGAAUUUUAGUUCCACCUUUUGAUAUAAACAUGAGGAAAAUAGUUACUUUCGUGGUCCUUAUUAAAUUAUAUUUAUAUUUAUAUUUUUACUAAUUUAUAUGCCAUUUCAACAAUUCCAAUACUCACUAUUCUUCCAUGCAGCCUACAACUUCCCUCUGGGAUCACUUCUCUUCUUGUAAUAUGCAUUAUUUAACAAUUCUUUUAGCAAGAUUCUUUGUACUUCUUAAAAUAUCUUCAUCUCAUUCCUAUUCUUGAAAGAUAGUUUAGCUACAGAGAAGUCUCUCUUGACAAUUAUUCUCUUUUGCAUGUUGAAGAUACUAUUCCAUGUGUUCUGGCAUCAAGGGCUGUUGAUGAGAGAUGUCUGCAACCUAACUGAAAUCAGGCUUUGAGAUCCUCUAUCCUUGAUGUUGGGAAGUUUCACUACAAUACGUCCAAGUUUGGAUUUCUUUUAUUGAUCCUGCUCAGUCCUAGGGAGUAUGCUUUCAAUUUGAGAACUCAAGUCUUUUUAAAAUUCUGGCAAAAUAAAAAUUUGUUGGCUGUUUGUUUGGUUCUUUUGUUGAGAACCUCUUACUAGAAGUUUAUUGGAGAAUCUCAAAAUAUCUUUCAUGCCUCUUGGCUGCUUUUUCACAUUUUUUAAAAUUUCUUUUUUCUCUCUCUGCUGCAU